RNAcentral lists this ribosomal RNA (932 nucleotides) under Staphylococcus sp. KSUM_9. RNAcentral describes it as "bacterial SSU rRNA". It matches the Rfam family "Bacterial small subunit ribosomal RNA", at positions 1 to 914 of the family's 1533-position model. The record is from RNAcentral. Lineage: Bacteria; Bacillati; Bacillota; Bacilli; Caryophanales; Staphylococcaceae.
GAAUUUUGAGUUUGGGAUUCUGCUCAGGAUGAACGCUGGCGGCGUGCCUAAUACAUGCAAGUCGAGCGAACGGACGAGAAGCUUGCUUCUCUGAUGUUAGCGGCGGACGGGUGAGUAACACGUGGAUAACCUACCUAUAAGACUGGGAUAACUUCGGGAAACCGGAGCUAAUACCGGAUAAUAUUUUGAACCGCAUGGUUCAAAAGUGAAAGACGGUCUUGCUGUCACUUAUAGAUGGAUCCGCGCUGCAUUAGCUAGUUGGUAAGGUAACGGCUUACCAAGGCAACGAUGCAUAGCCGACCUGAGAGGGUGAUCGGCCACACUGGAACUGAGACACGGUCCAGACUCCUACGGGAGGCAGCAGUAGGGAAUCUUCCGCAAUGGGCGAAAGCCUGACGGAGCAACGCCGCGUGAGUGAUGAAGGUCUUCGGAUCGUAAAACUCUGUUAUUAGGGAAGAACAUAUGUGUAAGUAACUGUGCACAUCUUGACGGUACCUAAUCAGAAAGCCACGGCUAACUACGUGCCAGCAGCCGCGGUAAUACGUAGGUGGCAAGCGUUAUCCGGAAUUAUUGGGCGUAAAGCGCGCGUAGGCGGUUUUUUAAGUCUGAUGUGAAAGCCCACGGCUCAACCGUGGAGGGUCAUUGGAAACUGGAAAACUUGAGUGCAGAAGAGGAAAGUGGAAUUCCAUGUGUAGCGGUGAAAUGCGCAGAGAUAUGGAGGAACACCAGUGGCGAAGGCGACUUUCUGGUCUGUAACUGACGCUGAUGUGCGAAAGCGUGGGGAUCAAACAGGAUUAGAUACCCUGGUAGUCCACGCCGUAAACGAUGAGUGCUAAGUGUUAGGGGGUUUCCGCCCCUUAGUGCUGCAGCUAACGCAUUAAGCACUCCGCCUGGGGAGUACGACCGCAAGGUUGAAACUCAAAGGAAUUGAC